This 78-nucleotide transfer RNA is filed under the name Vicinamibacteria bacterium. RNAcentral describes it as "tRNA-Pro". It matches the Rfam family "tRNA". From Rfam's summary of the family: Transfer RNA (tRNA) molecules are approximately 80 nucleotides in length. Their secondary structure includes four short double-helical elements and three loops (D, anti-codon, and T loops). Further hydrogen bonds mediate the characteristic L-shaped molecular structure. tRNAs have two regions of fundamental functional importance: the anti-codon, which is responsible for specific mRNA codon recognition, and the 3' end, to which the tRNAs corresponding amino acid is attached (by aminoacyl-tRNA synthetases). tRNAs cope with the degeneracy of the genetic code in two manners: having more than one tRNA (with a specific anti-codon) for a particular amino acid; and 'wobble' base-pairing, i.e. permitting non-standard base-pairing at the 3rd anti-codon position. Lineage: Bacteria; Pseudomonadati; Acidobacteriota; Vicinamibacteria. The record is from RNAcentral.
CGGGAUGUAGCGCAGCCUGGAUAGCGCACCUGCUUGGGGUGCAGGGGGUCGGAGGUUCAAAUCCUCCCAUCCCGACCA